RNAcentral lists this ribosomal RNA (406 nucleotides) under uncultured bacterium. RNAcentral describes it as "partial 16S ribosomal RNA". It matches the Rfam family "Bacterial small subunit ribosomal RNA", at positions 29 to 526 of the family's 1533-position model. The record is from RNAcentral.
AUUGAACGCUGGCGGCAGGCCUAACACAUGCAAGUCGAACGAGUGGCGGACGGGUGAGUAAUGUCUGGGAAACUGCCUGAUGGAGGGGGAUACCUACUGGAAACGGUAGCUAAUACCGCAUACCAUCGGAUGUGCCCAGAUGGGAUUAGCUAGUAGGUGGGGUAAAGGCUCACCUAGGCGACGAUCCCUAGCUGGUCUGAGAGGAUGACCAGCCACAAUGGAACUGAGAAACGGGCCAGACGCCUACGGGAGGCAGCAGUGGGGAAUAUUGCACGAUGGGGGCAAGCCUGAUGCAGCCAUGCCGCGGGUAUGAAGAAGGCCUUCGGGUUGGAAAGUACUUUCAGCGGGGAGGCGUUACCAGCAGAAGAAGCACCGGCUAACUUCGUGCCAGCCGCCGCGGUAAUUC